AUUGUUGUUAUAUGGUUGCACAUUGCGAACAUGCUGUCACUACAUAGCAAUGUACUGCAUAUAUCACAAUCACAGACACUGUUUGAGAGUUUCACUGGUUAGUAACAUUAUCUGUCUUUGUGAGUAAACUGAUGUUUUCUCUGAACAAACAGGAGAGUCUGUUCCCAUCGGCAUCAUUGUCGGUGCUCUUGCUGCUGUUGUUCUGCUGGUGGUCAUUGCUGUCGCUGGAUAUAUGGUGUAUCAGAAGAAAAAAGGCUUUAAACCUGUCAGCGGCUCUGAUGACGGCUCAAACAGCUCGGCUCAUGCAGUUCCACAAGCAUAAAGAUGUAGGAGACCAGACAUAUGAGAGAUGAAGAGAGAUGAAACUUUUCCUGCUGGCUUAGAAAACUGCACAUAAACACACACAUUCUCUCUCUC
This is a long non-coding RNA of Sinocyclocheilus grahami, 417 nucleotides long. RefSeq lists it as uncharacterized. The transcript has 4 exons. NCBI's taxonomy places the organism in Eukaryota, Metazoa, Chordata, Actinopteri, Cypriniformes, Cyprinidae. The record is from RefSeq and is a predicted model, not a curated record.